RNAcentral lists this ribosomal RNA (283 nucleotides) under unidentified marine bacterioplankton. RNAcentral describes it as "partial 16S ribosomal RNA". It matches the Rfam family "Bacterial small subunit ribosomal RNA", at positions 59 to 339 of the family's 1533-position model. The record is from RNAcentral.
AAGUCGAGGGGCAGCAUUCACUUCGGUGAGAUGGCGACCGGCGCACGGGUGCGUAACGCGUAUGCAACCUACCUUAUACAAAGGGAUAGCCCAUGGAAACGUGGAUUAAUACCUUAUAGUACUAUAAAUCUGCAUAGAUUAUUAGUUAAACUUCGGUGGUAUAAGAUGGGCAUGCGUAAGAUUAGUUGGUUGGUGAGGUAACGGCUCACCAAGACUACGAUUCGUUUAGGGGUUCUGAGAGGAUUACUCCCCCACACUGGUACUGAGACACGGACCAGACUCC